This 2740-nucleotide ribosomal RNA is filed under the name Picea glauca (white spruce). RNAcentral describes it as "bacterial LSU rRNA". The stretch from base 1119 to 2738 matches the Rfam family "Bacterial large subunit ribosomal RNA". The record is from RNAcentral. Lineage: Eukaryota; Viridiplantae; Streptophyta; Pinopsida; Pinales; Pinaceae.
CCUUAUCCACGUAGGCGAGGGCUUUACUACAUAGUUGCAACUCUGAAAUGAGUGAACAAUGAACCUUCCUUUCUCAGUUGAGGCAUGUGAAACUUCCCUCCUUCCUGGUCAAGAGCCUACCUGUUUAUACAUAGCAAGUGAUAUUUCAAAUGACCAAUAUCGAGUCAAAGUGAUUGAAAUGUGGGCAGGAGGUGGUUGGCGAUUUCCGCCUGGGAGCUGGUCGGAGGACGACAGUCGAAGGCUUGUUGUCCCUGGUCCCUAACCCCAACGGAAGGGCGAAAGGUUGUUUCUGGAAUGAUCGAAGCUAACCCAGCCAAGUAGUAUCCAUCGUUGGAGUAAUUGAGUAGAGUAAUAUGGCCUGAAUCUGUUGGGAGAAAAGGAUCUUUGACCUCCAGUUCGAUCAUUCUAUUUUUUAUUGAGACCGAUCUUUCAUAUACGAUCUCCUUACUUAUGAUAGCCAGAUGCGAGCUCAGAUCCUUCACUUUUCAGCAAGGUCAAUCUUUCAUGAAAUAAGGGCUUAGGAGGCCCUUUCAAGGCCUUAUUCUCGAACGAAGGAAGGAUUCACCUUAAAAUAGGACCUUUAAAGGCCUUACAGUAUUCACCCCAAACGUGACUUUAAAUGCCUUACUAGGAGCCAUGCCUUAUGUAAGUAUUCCACGCCUCCUUUUCUUGAUGGGCUAAAGUAUGGAAUAUAAGGAGAUGGUUUUCCUAACAGUAACCUCCGCUAACUCACCCCCACCUUGCCAAGCCUUAGCCUUAGUGUAACGAAGUAUACUUACUUAUUUCCUUGGCCAAACCAGCCAGCAGACAUUUCUCCGUAUCAAAUUUGAGGAUCUUUAGAUUAAAGACCAACGGGCCGCCAUCGAAGAAAAUAGGCUAGCACGUGAAAGGGCCUUACCAUGCCUGCUAUUUUUCACCCAUAUUCUCCUAACGAAUUUUCUUGAUUCACUGAAGCGACAAGACCUUGGAAGCGUUAAGAAGGCUCUAAAGACCCAAGGUUCUUUAUUGCUCACCCGAAGAAUGAGGGUGAGGAGAGCGUUUAGCUCAUCUCUACCAAAGGGUGUUAACGCUCACUCAUCAUAUGGGUGAGGGAGAGGAGGGUGAGUAAGCGGGGCGCCAACCAAGUGUCAGUAGCAGGACGUUCUGUCAAUCGGGGAAGGGACAACACCUAGAGAUAUCAAAAGUGAGAAUGUUGACAUGAGUAACAAUGAAUCAUGUGAAAAACACAAUCGCCUGCCAGUUCCAAGGUUUCUGCGUUCAGUCAAUCUACGCAGAGUGAAUCAGUCCCUAAGGAACCCCUGAAAGGGAUUUCGUCUGAUGGGUACACGAAAGUGGCGAAGUUGCCCCGACUACUGAACCAUGCGUGUCUAUUGAAGUGAAUUGGAUGAGAGUUUGAUUUUCCUGCCAACCAAAUUGAAUGAAUGUAAAAGUGCACUUUUGUUAGGGUUUCAACUUCCAGGAAAAAACUUCGAAUUGUGAGGGCGAUCCUCCCGGUGAACUAACCGUACCCCAAACCGACACGGGUGAACAAGUAGAGUAUACUAGGGUGCUUGAGAGAACCAUGUUGAAGGAAAUCGGAAAAAUGACCCCGUAACUUCGGGAUAAGGGGUGCUCUCCCUCCUAUCUUUGGGUUGGGAAAGCGACACAUACCAGGGGGUAGCGACUGUUUAUUAAAAACACAGGACUCUACCAAGUGGUAACACGAUGUAUAGAAUUUGACACCUUCCCGGUGCUGGAAGGUUGGAAGGAGAAGUGUGAUAAUAUUCGAAUGGAAGCCUCGGUAAAUGGCGACAGUAACUCUAACUGUCCUAAGGUAGUGAAAUUCCUUGUCGCAUAAGUAGCGACCUACACGAAUGGUGUAACGACUGCCCUGCUGUCUCCGACAUGGACCUAGUGAAAUUGAAUUCUCUGUGAAGAUGCGAGUACCAACGGCUAGAUGGUAAGACCCCGUGCAGCUUGACUAUAGCUUCGCAGUGACAACCUCUUACGAAUGUGUGGGAUAGGUGGGAGGUGGGGAACUCUCAAUCCUGGAAUACCAUUCUUUCGUCUAAGGAUGCCUAACCACUUCUUUCUCUAUAUUGAUUCUCAGGGCGGGACACUGCAAGGUGGGUAGUUUAUCUGGGGUGGAUGCCUCCUAAAGAGUAACGGAGGUGUGCGAAGGUAGGCGCUUUCUAUAAACAAGCAUAAUGGUCUAAGCCUGCCUGACUAUGAGACUCACUGGUCGAACAGAGACGAAAGUCAGCCAUAGUGAUCCAGGAGUCCUGUGUGGAAGGGAUCUUGCCCAAUGGAUCAAAGGUACGCCGGGGAUAAUAGGAUGAUGACUCCCAAGAUCUCUUAUUGACGGAGUCGUUUGGCACCUCUAUGUCGAAUCAUCACAUCCUGGGGUUGAAGAAGGUCCCAAGGGUUCGGUUGUUCGCCGAUGAAAGUGGUACGUGAGUUGGGUUUAGAACAUCGUGAGACAGUUUGGUUCCUAUCUACCACUGGUGUUGAAGGGAGAAAUGCGAGGAGCCAACCCUAGUACAAGAGGACUGGGUUGGGCCAACCUAUGGUGUACCGGUUGUCACGCCUAGUAGCGUCGGGCAGCCAAGUUGGUAUGGAAGAACUGCUGAAAGCAUCUAAGCGGGAAAUCCUUCUGUAGACAAGUUCUUGUAUGAGGUGAAAGAACAUCACUUUGAUAGGCGAUAGGUGUAAGCACCAUGAGGUGUGAAGCGAUAUCGUACUAAUAUUUUUACUUAGUCCA